UGGGGAAUUUUGGACAAUGGGCGCAAGCCUGAUCCAGCAAUGCCGCGUGCAGGAUGAAGGCCUUCGGGUUGUAAACUGCUUUUGUACGGAACGAAAAGGCUCUGGUUAAUACCUGGGGCUCAUGACGGUACCGUAAGAAUAAGCACCGGCUAACUACGUGCCAGCAGCCGCGGUAAUACGUAGGGUGCAAGCGUUAAUCGGAAUUACUGGGCGUAAAGCGUGCGCAGGCGGUUAUGUAAGACAGAUGUGAAAUCCCCGGGCUCAACCUGGGACCUGCAUUUGGGACUGCAUAGCUAGAGUACGGCAGAGGGGGAUGGAAUUCCGCGUGUAGCAGUGAAAUGCGUAGAUAUGCGGAGGAACACCGAUAGCGAAGGCAAUCCCCUGGGCCUGUACUGACGCUCAUGCACGAAAGCGUGGGGAGCAAACA
Molecule: ribosomal RNA, 427 nt
Filed under: uncultured bacterium
Lineage: Bacteria
Description: bacterial SSU rRNA
Rfam family: Bacterial small subunit ribosomal RNA
Source: RNAcentral